UUUUUUUUUAAUUUUUCCAUAAGUCAUUGGGGGUACAGGUGGUAUUUGGUUAUAUGAGUAAGUUCUUUAGUGGUGAUUUGUGAGAUUCUGGUGCAUCCAUCCCCUGAGCAGUAUACACUGCACCAUAUUUGUAGUCUUUUAUCCCUCGGCCCCCUCCCACUCAUCCCCAAAGUCCCCAAAGUCCACUGUAUCACUCUUAUGCCUUUGCAUCCUCAUAGCUUAGCUCCCACAUAUCACUGAGAACAUGUGAUGUUUCAUUUUCCAUUCCUGAGUUACCUCACUUAGAGUAAUAGUCUCCAGUCUCAUCCAGGUCACUGCAAAUGCUGUUAAUUUAUUCCUUUUUGUGGCUGCAUAGUAUUCCAUUGUUUACAUAUACCACGGUUUCUUUAUCCACUCGUUGACUGAUGGGUAUUUGGGCUGGUUCCACAAUUUUGAAGUUGUGAAUUGUGCCACUAUAAACAUGCAUGUGCAAGUGUCUUUUACGAAUAAUGACUUCUUUUCCUCUGGGUAGAUACCCAGUAGUGGGAUUGCUGGAUCAAAUGGUAGUUCUACUUUUAGUUAUUUAAGGAAUCUCCACACUGUUUUCCAGAGCAGCUGUGCGAGUUUCCAUUCCCACCAGCAGUGUAGAAGUGUUCCCUGUUCACUGCAUCCACACCAACAUCUACUGGUUUUUUAUUUUUUUGAUUAUGGCCAUUCAUGGAGGAGUGAGCUGGUAUCGCAUUGUGGUUUUGAUUUGCAUUUCCCUGCUCAUAAGUGAUGUUGAGCAUUUUUUCAUGUUUGUUGGCCAUUUGUAUAUCUUCUUUUGAGAACUGUCCAUUCAUGUCCUUAGCCCACUUUUUGAUGGGAUUGAUUUUUUCUUAUUGAGUUCGUUGUAGAUUCUGGAUAUUAGCCCUUUGUCAGAUGUAUAGAUUGUGAAGAUUUUCUCCCACUCUUUGGUUUGUCUGUUUCCUCUGCUAUUUCUUUUGUCAUGCAAAAGCUCUUUCAUUUAAUUAGGUCCCAGCUAUUUAUCUUUGUUUUUAUUGCCUUUGCUUUUGAGUUUUGGUCAUGAAAUCCUUGCCUAAGCCAAUGUCUAGAAGGGUUUUUCCAAUGUUAUCUUCUAGAAUUUUUAUAGUUUCAGGUCUUAGGUUUAAGUCCUUAGUCCAUCUUGAGUUGGGUUUUAUAUAAGGUGAGAGAUGAGGAACCAGUUUCAUUCUCCUACAUGUGGCUAGUCAAUUAUCCCAGCACCAUUUGUUGAAAAGGGUGUCCUUUCCCCACUUUAUGUUUUUGUUCACCUUGUCAAAGAUCAGUAGGCUGUUAAGUAUUUGGGUUUAUCUCUGGGUUCUCUAUUCUGUUUCAUUGGUCUGUGUGCCUAUUUCUGUACCAGUACAACGCUGUUUUGGUGACUAUGGCCUUAUAGUUUGAAAUCAGGCAGUGUGAUGCCUCCUGAUUUGUUCUUUUUGCUUAGUUUUGAUUUGGCUAUGAGGGCUCUUUUUUUGGUUCCACAUGAAUUUUAGAAUUGUUUUUUCUAAUUCUGUGAAGAAUGAUGGUGGUAUUUUGAUGGGAAUGGCACUGAAUUUGUAGAUUGCUUUUGGCAGUAUGGUCAUUAUUCACAAUAUUGAUUCUGCUCAUCCAUGAGCAUGGGAUGUGUUGCCAUUUCUUUGUGCCAUCUAUUAUUUCUUUCAGCUGUGUUUUGGAGUUUUCCUUGUAGAAGUCUUUCAACUCCUUGGUUAGGUAUAUUCCUAAUUUUUUUGCAGCUGUUGUAAAAGUGGUUGAGUUCUUGGCUUGAUUCUCUGUUUGGCCACUGUUGGUGUAUAGAAGAGCUACUGAUUUUUGUACAUUAAUCUU
Molecule: long non-coding RNA, 1824 nt
Organism: Macaca fascicularis (crab-eating macaque)
Lineage: Eukaryota; Metazoa; Chordata; Mammalia; Primates; Cercopithecidae
Source: Ensembl